This 493-nucleotide ribosomal RNA is filed under the name uncultured Desulfobulbus sp. RNAcentral's name for it is "bacterial SSU rRNA". It matches the Rfam family "Bacterial small subunit ribosomal RNA", at positions 896 to 1382 of the family's 1533-position model. Lineage: Bacteria; Pseudomonadati; Thermodesulfobacteriota; Desulfobulbia; Desulfobulbales; Desulfobulbaceae. The record is from RNAcentral.
GAAACUUAAAGGAAGUUGACGGGGGCCCGCACAAGCGGUGGAGUAUGUGGUUUAAUUCGAUGCAACGCGAAGAACCUUACCUGGUCUUGGCAUCCCGGAGACCCUUAGGAAACUAGGGGGUGCUUCCAUCUGGAAGAAUCUGGAGACAGGUGCUGCAUGGCUGUCGUCAGCUCGUGUCGUGAGAUGUUGGGUUAAGUCCCGCAACGAGCGCAACCCUUGCCUUUAGUUGCCAGCAGUUCGGCUGGGCACUCUAAAGGGACUGCCGGUGUUAAACCGGAGGAAGGUGGGGAUGACGUCAAGUCCUCAUGGCCUUUAUGACCAGGGCUACACACGUACUACAAUGGCCGAUACAAAGGGCAGCGACACUGCGAGGUGAAGCCAAUCCCGUAAAAUCGGUCUCAGUCCGGAUUGGAGUCUGCAACUCGACUCCAUGAAGUUGGAAUCGCUAGUAAUCGUGGAUCAGCAUGCCACGGUGAAUACGUUCCCGGGCCUU